AUAACGCCCCGUUUUUGUCGCAAGAUUUAAAUGGGUUCAAUACCCAAAACCGUGUCUACCUACCUUUGUUGCUUUGGCAGGCCGCCUUCGGGCGUCGGCUUCGGCUGAUUAGCGCUUGCCAGAGGCCCAAAACUCUGUGUUUAGUGAUGUCUGAGUACUAUAAAAUAUUUA
This 171-nucleotide unclassified non-coding RNA is filed under the name uncultured Meliniomyces. RNAcentral's name for it is "sequence contains ITS1". Lineage: Eukaryota; Fungi; Ascomycota; Leotiomycetes; Helotiales; Helotiaceae. The record is from RNAcentral.